AUUCUCAUCCCUGCAUGGCCGAAGCGUCGGCGACUGCCAGCAGCCACGGUCUUUCAGGCUGCGCCGCGGACUCUCCCGCGUCGACCUCCUUGUCCGCAUCGCACCGUGCCACGGACACGCGCCCGCCCCGGGCGUUGGUGC
Bordetella ansorpii is the source of this 141-nucleotide regulatory RNA element. It matches the Rfam family "radC RNA". The record is from Rfam. NCBI's taxonomy places the organism in Bacteria, Pseudomonadati, Pseudomonadota, Betaproteobacteria, Burkholderiales, Alcaligenaceae.